RNAcentral lists this ribosomal RNA (495 nucleotides) under uncultured bacterium. RNAcentral's name for it is "partial 16S ribosomal RNA". It matches the Rfam family "Bacterial small subunit ribosomal RNA", at positions 30 to 507 of the family's 1533-position model. The record is from RNAcentral.
UGAAUGCUGGCGGCGUGCCUAAUACAUGCAAGUCGAGCGAACGGACGAGAAGCUUGCUUCUCUGAUGUUAGCGGCGGACGGGUGAGUAACACGUGGAUAACCUACCUAUAAGACUGGGAUAACUUCGGGAAACCGGAGCUAAUACCGGAUAAUAUUUUGAACCGCAUGGUUCAAAAGUGAAAGACGGUCUUGCUGUCACUUAUAGAUGGAUCCGCGCUGCAUUAGCUAGUUGGUAAGGUAACGGCUUACCAAGGCAACGAUGCAUAGCCGACCUGAGAGGGUGAUCGGCCACACUGGAACUGAGACACGGUCCAGACUCCUACGGGAGGCAGCAGUAGGGAAUCUUCCGCAAUGGGCGAAAGCCUGACGGAGCAACGCCGCGUGAGUGAUGAAGGUCUUCGGAUCGUAAAACUCUGUUAUUAGGGAAGAACAUAUGUGUAAGUAACUGUGCACAUCUUGACGGUACCUAAUCAGAAAGCCACGGCUAACUACGUG